This 1114-nucleotide long non-coding RNA is filed under the name Anser cygnoides (Swan goose). Its description in RNAcentral is "lncRNA (ENSACDG00005012952.1)". The record is from RNAcentral. Lineage: Eukaryota; Metazoa; Chordata; Aves; Anseriformes; Anatidae.
CAGGAAAAAAAAAAAAUUAAACUCAACAUCCAUUGAUAAAAGUCAGAGUUUCUUCAUGUUAUGACGAGUUGUUCUAUCAAUCAGGAGAGCCAAGGGCCAUGUCUAGCACCUGUGUAGCUAAUAAGUGGGGUUAGACACAGGCACAUGACAUUACACAGCCACAAAUGGGACAUACUAUGAUGUGUUCUAAUGCUUUCUGUGUUAGCAUGUGUUUAAAUGACUGAUAUGUGAUCAUAAAAUCACAUCAGUUCUCAAAUCACAUACAAUCAGUUCUCAAAUUGAGUCUGUGGUCCAUAGAAAACCUAUUUGCCACUUAGUACUGUCCUCCUCCCAUUCCCCCCAGUCCUGACUUGAAGACGGCUGAAAGGGAGGGAUUAGAAUACAUUUUAAUAAGAAAAAAGCAUUUUGAGAAAGGGUGAAGUGUCAGUGUCUUCACAGCAAGCACAGGGGCUGGCCCUCAGUUUUUGCCUUCAAACCUCAGUUGGUGCCUUCUGACUUGUAAAAGUUGCAGCUCAUGGCUCUGUGGGGUGACAUAGCCUGAGGCACGUGCCUCCUUCUGUGUUUCAUGCUGCUGUCACUUACAAAGAACAGUUAUUUCGGAGCUCUGCAGGGAUACCAUUUCUCCUCCUCUUUGAAAGGGGGUAGUUUUGUGUUCUGCCAACCACUUUAGGUUGGCAGAACACAAAAGAUAUGUCUGUCCUCUUUGCUGCUUUCCUCUCCCCUCUCGUUGGGAGAGCAGAGGCAGUGACAGUACCAUGAUGAAUUGUUUGGCCCUGCCAGCAGCAAUUAGCUGUUCAAACAGUUGAUUCUGUUCCCUAGGGAAAAGCUGGUAAAACAGAUGAAAGCAUUGUGUGGACUGGACUUGAUCUGUGGACUACCUGUAGAACCCGCAGAACUCAUCAGCAUCCCCUCUACUGCUUAUAUUCUACUUGAUGUAAAGGUUGUUGCUAGUUCUGGAAGAAAAAAGAAAGCUUGCAAAAAGAGAACCAAUUUGCUUAAAGUUUACCUUACGCUGAAAGUUGUGGGCACUUGGAGCAGAGCUGGUGAGUUCUUUCUCUUUAUUUCCUAUGAAUCACCCAGAGACAGAAAUUGGUGCUGUGAGCUUUCCUCCUAA